Molecule: long non-coding RNA, 2271 nt
Organism: Olea europaea var. sylvestris
Lineage: Eukaryota; Viridiplantae; Streptophyta; Magnoliopsida; Lamiales; Oleaceae
Exons: 2
Source: RefSeq, a predicted model, not a curated record
CUGUAGGGGAGGCCACAAUCGAAGCCAUCACACUAAUAACAUGUUUGGCUAAGCUUAAGAAUGCACUUAUGAAUUUCUCAUUAUUGGAGAACGAGAAUAGAGCCUGAAAGUCCUGGAAAAUGAGAUGUAUAUAAGACAAAAUCUAGUAGUUCAAGUUCCUAGUUAGAGUGAUUUAAGAGAUGAAUUGUGCUAUAACCUAUAAAGAUUGUCAGGUUUGUGCUAAACCAAUCUACUUUCAUUUGUAUUUUGGCUAAGGAGUUGAGCGUUUCACCUUUUCUUUCUAAAUAGAGGGUUCUCCAAUUUAAAUACUUGCUUAGACCAUGAAAUAAUAUAUUUUCACCAGUCGGAAGAGCAUAAUGUCAGAACAGAGGGAGGAAAACUCUUGUAUACUUAUGAUGAGGACAUCCAUUUUGUUUAUCUUCUAGUUGGACUCUUAUUUAUUUUUGGACUAUUAAUUAUGUGGACUUGUAUAAUGUGCUCGGCCCUUUCUCUUUAGGGUUUCCUUUUAGGAUUUUGUUUUGCUAUUUAAAUAUAGUUUUUCAUGUAAUUGAAACAGUUGAUGAAUGAAUAAAUUGUUGGGUAGCUUGUGGCAAAAUUUCUCUCCUUCUCCAUCUUUCUUCUAUUGAUUCUUUUACUGUUCUUCCUUUAAUCUCUUCUUCAUAGAUCUGUUUUUAUUCGCCAUUAAUUAUUCCAAUUGGUGCUGGAUCAACUUACCAUUUGACUAAAUGCAAAACUAAUCAAGUUUCAGGACCAGAUGUGUUUGUCUUAAAUUUUACCUCACGGAAAGGUAUAUAAAUUAACCAGUUUGAGAAUGAAGCGAGGUCAAGAUUUCUUGAGAAGUAGAUUUGGGGAACUAUCUAAAGUAUCUUAAUCCAAUAAAAGAACCUUAUAACAGCACCAAAAUAUGCUCUUCUUCACCUCUCUCUCUCUCUCUUUCAGGUUUUCUUCAAACCUGAUAUCCCCCCACACACCCUCAUCCCAUCCGACACCUAACUUAUGCCAUCUUCAUUUUGGAAACUAUCAGGUGCGGAAAAUGCAUAUCUUUUAGUAAAAAGGUACAUGGCCGUGAAUGCAUGAUUGUGGCAUCAGUGGAUUCAAGAUCGUAAUUUCUAAGUUAUUAAAGUUCAUUGUUUAUAGAAUUCUAAAAGAUGACAACCAACAGAAAAUCAUGUAAUAAGGUAUUUUAUGAGGGUGGGCAGAAAGAUGGUACGAAAAUGCAGCCCUAUCGAGUAUCGAAGGUGUAGCAAAGCCUAGACUUUUACCAGCAUUCUGGAAUUUUGAAUUUUAGAACCAGAGAAUAGGUAUUGAAGUUUUGACUCUUACCAGCUCUUUGUUUUGUCUAGUCAUGUUCUGUGCUGCAAACCAAGACGUAGAUAAGCUUCUAUGCUAAUAUUGCAUUCCCUACGACCCGGUUAACUAAGAGGAAAGGUUUUCAAUAAAUUUUUUGUUAAUACAAGGUGGAGCUUGAUUUGUAUCAUUUUAGGCGAAUAUUUUAUACUGUUUUCUAUCCAGGUUUCAAGGGAUCCAUCUUCUCGUCCUGUUUAGAUGAAGCACCGGAGUACCAUUGUGCUCUCUCUCUUCUGUCAACUGGUUCCUGGGGUUCAUGUGUGCCUGAAUCCAUUAUACCGUACAACCCUACCAAUGAAAGUAGCACGAGUAUGCAUCAGCCUGUAAUGCAUGCAAUCCCAGAAGGCUUGCCCCUCGCUUCUGCAGAAUUUUGGCAGACUGGACAGCAGCCAACUCAUCCUCGCAUUCCUGCCUUGCCCCAAAAUGGUACCUUUCAGGAAAUGCAGCUCUUCAAAGCACCACCAUACGGGGCAAAUUUUUACUCAAAUGUGCAGAACUGACCAUUCAACUUUAGGGUAUUCGGUCUUUGAGCUUUACAAAGUUUGAUAUUAAGGUCAUGCAGCAUUAUUUUGGAAGGAUUAUGAUGUUUUUGGCCUCAAUUACAGACUAAGACGGUGUGGUUAAUAUGUGAAGUGCACAUUUUGAAACGACGUAAUUGCCUAAAUGUUUUCUUGCCAUGACCACUGAUUUUGCUAUAGACAUGCUAAAGCAAAUACCACUUUAUUCUAGUCAUGGAUUCAUGUCCGCAGUACUAUUAUAUAUUCUCUGUUAUCUAUUAGGUGCUAGUAACCCUAAUUACUGAAAGUAACCUUUUUCGAAUUAUGUAAAAAGAAGAAAAUGUUUGGAAAGAGAAAUGAGAAUUCAGUGUGAAAAUUUGAGUGAAAUCUGGAAAUAGUCGAAAACAUUGCUCUUGUUUUUCUUGAA